RNAcentral lists this ribosomal RNA (592 nucleotides) under Kitasatospora setae. RNAcentral's name for it is "bacterial SSU rRNA". It matches the Rfam family "Bacterial small subunit ribosomal RNA", at positions 271 to 873 of the family's 1533-position model. Lineage: Bacteria; Bacillati; Actinomycetota; Actinomycetes; Kitasatosporales; Streptomycetaceae. The record is from RNAcentral.
AGGCGACGACGGGUAGCCGGCCUGAGAGGGCGACCGGCCACACUGGGACUGAGACACGGCCCAGACUCCUACGGGAGGCAGCAGUGGGGAAUAUUGCACAAUGGGCGAAAGCCUGAUGCAGCGACGCCGCGUGAGGGAUGACGGCCUUCGGGUUGUAAACCUCUUUCAGCAGGGAAGAAGCGCAAGUGACGGUACCUGCAGAAGAAGCACCGGCUAACUACGUGCCAGCAGCCGCGGUAAUACGUAGGGUGCGAGCGUUGUCCGGAAUUAUUGGGCGUAAAGAGCUCGUAGGCGGCCUGUCGCGUCGGAUGUGAAAGCCCGGGGCUUAACCCCGGGUCUGCAUUCGAUACGGGCAGGCUAGAGUGUGGUAGGGGAGAUCGGAAUUCCUGGUGUAGCGGUGAAAUGCGCAGAUAUCAGGAGGAACACCGGUGGCGAAGGCGGAUCUCUGGGCCAUUACUGACGCUGAGGAGCGAAAGCGUGGGGAGCGAACAGGAUUAGAUACCCUGGUAGUCCACGCCGUAAACGUUGGGAACUAGGUGUUGGCGACAUUCCACGUCGUCGGUGCCGCAGCUAACGCAUUAAGUUCCCCGCU